Mollisiaceae sp. DMI_Dod_QoI is the source of this 138-nucleotide non-coding RNA. Lineage: Eukaryota; Fungi; Ascomycota; Leotiomycetes; Helotiales; Mollisiaceae. The record is from the annotation of a GenBank genome assembly.
AGCAACAUGGCGCAGCGGAAGCGCGCCGGGCUCAUAGGUUGCUCUUAGAGUUCUUAGAGUUCUUAAAGUUCCAAAAAAGAAUUAUUAAUGACAAUCCUUGUUACCCGGAGGUCCCAUGAUCGAAACAUGGUGUUGCUA